This 27-nucleotide non-coding RNA is filed under the name Rattus norvegicus (Norway rat). Lineage: Eukaryota; Metazoa; Chordata; Mammalia; Rodentia; Muridae. The record is from RNAcentral.
UAAGUGACUUACAGGGUCUUUGACUUC